UUCCGGUUGAUCCCGCCGGACCCUACUGCUAUCGGGACGGGACUUAGACAUGCAAGUCGAGCGCCUUGAGUUAUGGCGAGGCGCGGCGUACGGCUCAGUAACACGUGGCUAACCUACCCUUGGGACGGGGACAAUCCCGGGAAACUGGGGCUAAUAUCUGAUAGGAGAGGAGGCCUGGAAUGGUUCCUCUCUCAAAGGGUUUUGAGACCAUGCUUCUCAACGCCGCCCAAGGAUGGGGCCGCGGCCGAUCAGGUUGUUGGUGUGGUAACGGCUCACCAAGCCUAUAACCGGUACGGGCCAUGAGAGUGGGAGCCCGGAGAUGGGCACUGAGACAAGGGCCCAAGCCCUACGGGGUGCAGCAGUCGCGAAAACUCCGCAAUGCGCGAAAGCGUGACGGGGCUAUCCCGAGUGCCGUCCGCUGAGGAUGGCUUUUCUCCGCUGUAAGGAGGCGGAGGAAUAAGGAGAGGGCAAGACUGGUGUCAGCCGCCGCGGUAAUACCAGCUCUCCGAGUGGUAGGGAUGAUUAUUGGGCUUAAAGCGUUCGUAGCCGGCCCAGUAAGUCUUUCGUUAAAUCCAGCGAUUCAAUCGUUGGACCGCGGAAGAUACUGUUGGGCUAGGGGGCGGGAGAG
RNAcentral lists this ribosomal RNA (628 nucleotides) under uncultured archaeon. RNAcentral's name for it is "bacterial SSU rRNA". It matches the Rfam family "Archaeal small subunit ribosomal RNA", at positions 1 to 607 of the family's 1478-position model. The record is from RNAcentral.